Molecule: ribosomal RNA, 253 nt
Filed under: uncultured bacterium
Lineage: Bacteria
Description: partial 16S ribosomal RNA
Rfam family: Bacterial small subunit ribosomal RNA
Source: RNAcentral
UACAGAGGGGGCAAGCGUUAUUCGGAAUUAUUGGGCGUAAAGGGCGCGUAGGCGGCCCUGCAAGUGUCGGGUGAAAUCCCUCGGCUUAACCGAGGAACUGCCCGUCAGACUGCAUGGCUCGAGACCGGGAGAGGUGAGUGGAAUUCCCAGUGUAGCGGUGAAAUGCGUAGAUAUUGGGAGGAACACCAGUGGCGAAGGCGACUCACUGGACCGGAACUGACGCUGAGGCGCGAAAGCGUGGGGAGCAAACAGG